Lates calcarifer (barramundi perch) is the source of this 941-nucleotide long non-coding RNA. RefSeq lists it as uncharacterized. The record is from RefSeq and is a predicted model, not a curated record. The transcript has 5 exons. NCBI's taxonomy places the organism in Eukaryota, Metazoa, Chordata, Actinopteri, Centropomidae.
UAUAACUAACUAUUAAUAGAAUAUCCUCACAGGCUGGAGUACAUGGUCUCUGUCCUGACACCACACAUCUGUGAAGAGACUAGGAGGAAGCUGUCUACACUGUCCGUCUUUGUACUGGAGACUCAAACAGAGGAAACACCCAUCAAAGCUGAAGGCUCUCAGUGACUUUGUGGCAACACGGAAGCGGGCCAUGGAACUACCUGAAAUCCCAAGUUCUCCUAGGCGGAGAGCCGGCCGCUGCCGUGACCUGACCACAGAUAAGCAAAGGAAAACGGAUGGAUUGAAGCAUGGGAGACUUCCAGCAGUCGAGCAGGACUUCUACCAGACAGGUUAUUACACAGAUGACCGGGGUCACACUGGCCUACUGCAGUGUCUACAGUUCCACGAGCCCUGGUUGUCAUGAAGGCAUCCUGGGUACCGUUAGCGAUUUGUUGGUGUAGCCUCUCUGCCUCCAAGAUCUUCACCUCCACCCUUGCUAUGGAGGGCCAGCAGCUGCUGGUGGCUUACCCAUGUGCCCUGCUCUAUGGGCUCUUUGUACUGCUCACUGUAUUUUAACUAUCACCAGAUAAGAAAGCUAGAGGAAAAUCUUUUCUUGUUUUGUACCAACAAAGUUAAGGGGAGAAUGUUUUUCAUUGUUAUUGGUCAGUUUAGGUAAAGCAGUCAAAACCAUUUGGUGGUUGAGUGCAUGUUACAGAGCCUCAGCUCCACGCUGAAACUUGGAAAUACACACAAACACACAAAUCACCUUCAUAUGUUUGUAUGAAUGAACCAUAAGAGUUCUGACUUUUUGUUUGCAUAUGUACUCUAUGGUUUGAUUUAAUCUCUGUUCUAUUUAGAUUUUGUUUUAUGAAGUCCUUACACUAUUUUUAACACUUAGAUGGUGAAUAUUUGACUUUAUUUAUUCUGUUCACUAAGAUUUAAUAAAUUAAGAGUUUCCAAGA